CCUACGGGAGGCAGCAGUAGGGAAUCUUCCACAAUGGGCGAAAGCCUGAUGGAGCAACGCCGCGUGGGUGAAGAAGGUCUUCGGAUCGUAAAACCCUGUCGUCAGAGAAGAAAGUGCGUGAGAGUAACUGUUCACGUUUCGACGGUAUCUAACCAGCAAGCGACGGCUAACUACGUGCCAGCAGCUGCGGUAAUACGUAGGUGGCAAGCGUUAUCCGGAUUUAUUGGGCGUAAAGGGAACGCAGGCGGUCUGUUAAGUCUGAUGUGAAAGCUCUCGGCUUAACCGGGGUAGUGCAUUGGAAACUGGGGGACUAGAGUGCAGAAGAGGAGAGUGGAACUCCAUGUGUAGCGGUGAAAUGCGUAGAUAUAUGGAAGAACACCAGUGGCGAAAGCGGCUCUCUGGUCUGUAACUGACGCUGAGGUUCGAAAGCGUGGGGAGCAAACAGGAUUAGAUACCCCUGUAGUC
RNAcentral lists this ribosomal RNA (465 nucleotides) under uncultured bacterium. Its description in RNAcentral is "partial 16S ribosomal RNA". It matches the Rfam family "Bacterial small subunit ribosomal RNA", at positions 338 to 795 of the family's 1533-position model. The record is from RNAcentral.